UGUUUAGAUAGUGUAAAUAUAACACUUAACAUUUUCACUGUUAAAAUCUUUGUAGUUUAAACUU
RNAcentral lists this transfer RNA (64 nucleotides) under Haemaphysalis kitaokai. RNAcentral's name for it is "tRNA-Glu". The record is from RNAcentral. Lineage: Eukaryota; Metazoa; Arthropoda; Arachnida; Ixodida; Ixodidae.